GUUUGUCCGUUUGGAGCCCCGCUCCCUCUGUACGGGGGAGCCGUUUUCUUCUUUCUUUCUUCUUUCUUGCCUAUUAAACUUUCCGCCCCUUAAAACAACUCCACGUGUGCCCGUGUCGUUUAUCUAAUCAGCGAGAGAGAAAGAACCCUGGUGUUUCUCCAGUCAUGGGAGCUGUAUCACUAGGAUUGCAGGCAUGAGCCACCACGCCUAGUCUGGUCUCAAACUCUUAGCUUCAAGGGAUCUUCCUGCUUCUGCCUCCCAAAGAGCUGGGAUUACAGGUAUGAACCACUGUGCCUGGCCCUAUACCACAUUUUCUCUACCCAUUCAUCUGCUGUUGGACAUGUAGGUCGAUUCACUAUCUUGGCUAUUGUGAAUAGUGCUGCAAUAAACAUGAGAGUGAAGACGUCUCUUCCAUACUGAUUUCCUUUCCUUUGGAUAAAUGCUCAGCAGUGAAACUGCUGGAUCAUAUGGUAGUUCUGCUUGUAGUUUUCUGUGGUACCUGUGAAAGGAAAAUAAAUUUGCUGCCCCAAAAUCACUAAGCUAAAGGGAAAAGUCACGCUGGGAACUGCGUAGAGUAAAGCUGCCUCCCAUUCUAUUCAAAGUCAUCCCUCUGCUCACUGAGAUAAAUGCAUAUGUGAUUGCCUCCUUUGGAGAGGCUAAUCAGAAACUCAAAAGAAUUGCAAUCAUUUGUGUCUUGUCUACCUAUGAGCUGGAAGCUCCCUCCCCACUUCGAGUUGUCUCACCUUUCCAGACAGAACCAAUGUUCAUCUUACAUAUGUUGAUUGAUGUCUCUUAUCUCCCUAAAAUGUGUAAAACCGAGCUGUGCUCUGACCACCUUGGGCACAUGUGAUCAGGACCUCCUGAGGCUGUGUCACAGGUGCACAUCCUCAACAUUAGCAAAAUAAACUUUCUAAAUAAACUGAGAGCUGUCUCAGAUAUUUGAGGUUCACAUACCUACAUACUGUUCUGCAUAGUGGCUGUACUAGUGUACAUUCCCACCAAUAGUGUGUAUGAGUUCCUUUUCCUCCACAUCCCUGUCAGCAUUUAUUUUUUGCCUUUUUGAUAAUAGGCAUCCUAUUAUCAAAAUGUGCAAUUCCCUGAUGAUUAGUGAUGGUGAGCAUUUUCUUCAUAUAAUUCUUGGCCAUUUGUAUGUCUUCUUUUGAGAAAUGUCUGUUUAGGUCAUUAGCCGUUUUUUUUGUUUGUUUGUUUGUUUGUGUGUGUGUGUUUUUUUUUUUGAGACAAAAGUCUCACUCUGUCUAAUCUCAUGCCUUCUGACCUAAGUUGUGAUAAGAGAAAUGUAAACCGAGAUCAUACCUGUC
This 1319-nucleotide long non-coding RNA is filed under the name Homo sapiens (human). RNAcentral describes it as "non-protein coding lnc-CLPS-2:1". The record is from RNAcentral. Lineage: Eukaryota; Metazoa; Chordata; Mammalia; Primates; Hominidae.